RNAcentral lists this ribosomal RNA (497 nucleotides) under uncultured bacterium. Its description in RNAcentral is "partial 16S ribosomal RNA". It matches the Rfam family "Bacterial small subunit ribosomal RNA", at positions 28 to 507 of the family's 1533-position model. The record is from RNAcentral.
GAUGAACGCUGGCGGCGUGCCUAAUACAUGCAAGUCGAGCGAACUGACGAGAAGCUUGCUUCUCUGAUGUUAGCGUCGGACGGGUGAGUAACACGUGGAUAACCUACCUAUAAGACUGGGAUAACUUCGGGAAACCGGAGCUAAUACCGGAUGAUAUUUUGAACCGCAUGGUUCAAAAGUGAAAGACGGUCCUGCUGUCACUUAUAGAUGGAUCCGCGCUGCAUUAGCUAGUUGGUAAGGUAACGGCUUACCAAGGCAACGAUGCAUAGCCGACCUGAGAGGGUGAUCGGCCACACUGGAACUGAGACACGGUCCAGACUCCUACGGGAGGCAGCAGUAGGGAAUCUUCCGCAAUGGGCGAAAGCCUGACGGAGCAACGCCGCGUGAGUGAUGAAGGUCUUCGGAUCGUAAAACUCUGUUAUUAGGGAAGAACAUAUGUGUAAGUAACUGUGCACAUCUUGACGGUACCUAAUCAGAAAGCCACGGCUAACUACGUG